UACAGAGGUGGCAAGCGUUGUUCGGAAUUACUGGGCGUAAAGGGCGCGUAGGCGGUUCGACAAGUCCCGCGUGAAAGCCCCCGGCUCAACUGGGGAACGGCGCGGGAAACUGUCGGGCUUGAGUUCGGGAGAGGGAAGCGGGAUUCCGGGUGUAGCGGUGAAAUGCGUAGAUAUCCGGAGGAACACCGGUGGCGAAGGCGGCUUCCUGGACCGACACUGACGCUGAGGCGCGAAAGCUAGGGGAGCAAACGGG
Molecule: ribosomal RNA, 253 nt
Filed under: uncultured bacterium
Lineage: Bacteria
Description: partial 16S ribosomal RNA
Rfam family: Bacterial small subunit ribosomal RNA
Source: RNAcentral